Molecule: ribosomal RNA, 497 nt
Filed under: uncultured bacterium
Lineage: Bacteria
Description: partial 16S ribosomal RNA
Rfam family: Bacterial small subunit ribosomal RNA
Source: RNAcentral
GAUGAACGCUGGCGGCGUGCCUAAUACAUGCAAGUCGAGCGAACAGACGAGGAGCUUGCUCCUCUGACGUUAGCGGCGGACGGGUGAGUAACACGUGGAUAACCUACCUAUAAGACUGGGAUAACUUCGGGAAACCGGAGCUAAUACCGGAUAAUAUAUUGAACCGCAUGGUUCAAUAGUGAAAGACGGUUUUGCUGUCACUUAUAGAUGGAUCCGCGCCGCAUUAGCUAGUUGGUAAGGUAACGGCUUACCAAGGCAACGAUGCGUAGCCGACCUGAGAGGGGGACCGCCCACACUGGAACUGAGACACGCCCCAGACUCCUACGGGGGGCAGCAGUGGGGACUCUUCCGCAAGGGGCGAAAGCCUGACGGCGCAGCGCCGGUUGAGUAAUGAAGUUCUUCGGAUCGUAAAACUUUUUUAUUGGGGAAAAACAAAUGUGUAAGUAUCUAUGCACGUCUUGACGGUACCUAAUCAGAAGGCCACGGCUAACUCCGUG